AUACCUUAGUUGUUUUGUAAGCAACCAUCCCCAUCACUGGUACAAAUUUCUUCAUCUAGUUGAGUACUGGUAUAACACGUCCUUCCACAUAGCUAUUGAAAUGACCCCUUUCAAAGCACUUUACGGCAGAGAUACACCCAGUAUUACCGAUUAUUUAGCCGGUUCUACCCAAGAACAAUCCCUUGAUGAAUCCUUGCAACAAGGAACACAUAUUUUUAGCAUGUUAAAGGAAAAUUUACAAAAAAGAAAAGUUCAAAUGGAGAAACAAGAUAAUACCAAAAGGAUUUAUUUUACCUUUCAACCAGGG
Molecule: non-coding RNA, 307 nt
Organism: Vicia faba (fava bean)
Lineage: Eukaryota; Viridiplantae; Streptophyta; Magnoliopsida; Fabales; Fabaceae
Source: the annotation of a GenBank genome assembly